CCCGACUAGUACAAUGAUAACAUCACUGCCCCGCUCAGUGCGAACCUCUUCAAUCCACUUAGAAGUGUUCAGGAAUGACUGCCUGCUUGCAACAUCAUAAACAAUAACAGCCACUGAGGAAUCCCUAAUAUAGCUUGGAAUGAGGCUUCUGAACCUUUCCUGUCCAGCAGUGUCCCAGAGCUGCAAUCUAACAGUUCGAUCUUCAAGAUACAUUGUCUUUGAUAGAAAAUCGAUACCAAUAGUUGCCUGAUAGGUGUUGUCGAAUUUGUCGUACAUGAAGCGAGUGAUGAUACUAGUUUUGCCAACAGACUGAUCACCCAAGAACACCAGCUUGUACUUGGCCAGUGCCGAAACUGGAGCCAUUAGACGGAUCUAUCUCCGUAUCGAGAUCUCGCCUAGAUAGAUCGCGGAGAAUCGAGAUCGCCAAAUCGGAGUAUCCCCUCCGAUAUUCGGAUGUGUACUUAUUUUUUUGGAGAGGAAGAGGUGUUGACGGCUUUACGUAAGCUGACCUUG
This 513-nucleotide unclassified non-coding RNA is filed under the name Hevea brasiliensis (rubber tree). Lineage: Eukaryota; Viridiplantae; Streptophyta; Magnoliopsida; Malpighiales; Euphorbiaceae. The record is from RNAcentral.